CCUACGGGUGGCAGCAGUGAGGAAUAUUGGUCAAUGGGCGGGAGCCUGAACCAGCCAAGUCGCGUGAGGGAAGACGGUCCUAUGGAUUGUAAACCUCUUUAGGCGGGGAGCAAUGCCGGGCACGCGUGCCCGGAGGGAGAGUACCCGCAGAAUAAGCAUCGGCUAACUCCGUGCCAGCAGCCGCGGUAAUACGGAGGAUGCGAGCGUUAUCCGGAUUUAUUGGGUUUAAAGGGUGCGCAGGCGGAGGUGCAAGUCAGCGGUCAAAUUGCGGGGCUCAACCCCGUACUGCCGUUGAAACUGCAUCCCUUGAGUGCGCGAGAAGUAUGCGGAAUGCGUGGUGUAGCGGUGAAAUGCAUAGAUAUCACGCAGAACUCCGAUUGCGAAGGCAGCAUACCGGCGCGCAACUGACGCUCAUGCACGAAAGCGUGGGUAUCGAACAGGAUUAGAUACCCCUGUAGUC
This 460-nucleotide ribosomal RNA is filed under the name uncultured bacterium. RNAcentral describes it as "partial 16S ribosomal RNA". It matches the Rfam family "Bacterial small subunit ribosomal RNA", at positions 338 to 795 of the family's 1533-position model. The record is from RNAcentral.